UGGGGUAUCGCCAAGCGGUAAGGCAGCGGGUUUUGAUCCCGCCAUUCCCAGGUUCGAAUCCUGGUACCCCAG
This 72-nucleotide transfer RNA is filed under the name Edwardsiella hoshinae. It matches the Rfam family "tRNA". From Rfam's summary of the family: Transfer RNA (tRNA) molecules are approximately 80 nucleotides in length. The record is from Rfam by way of RNAcentral. RNAcentral also lists the same sequence under 1 other name. Lineage: Bacteria; Pseudomonadati; Pseudomonadota; Gammaproteobacteria; Enterobacterales; Hafniaceae.